Molecule: long non-coding RNA, 1043 nt
Organism: Seriola dumerili (greater amberjack)
Lineage: Eukaryota; Metazoa; Chordata; Actinopteri; Carangiformes; Carangidae
Exons: 5
Source: RefSeq, a predicted model, not a curated record
CACAGUACAAUAGACCAGCUGGGCUUUUCUGUCUCCAUACAUUCCUAUAAGCCUCCAUCUGCGCACAGCGGCGCGGAGGAGGAGCGUUAUCGGGACCGGGACCGGCCAUCAGGGCGGACAUGGCGGCGGCGCACAGCCCAGCAUAGACACUGCUGAAGUGGAACUGGGGAGUCUGUUUGUCAGCCUGUGAACUGCUGAACGAUUUGAUAAAACACUGUUUGAUGCCACCUGUAAUCAUGGACGAGCAACUUUUGUUUUUUGCGUGUUCCUGCGCGGAGAUGCUGCUGGUGUUUCGGUGCGCCAAGACUGACACUUUCUGUGGGUGAGGCUGCGAAGUUUCCAGGCGGAGCUCCAAACCAGAGCGACCACUUCAGAGGAAUGAAGCGGCUCCGCCCGGAUUAAAGCCGGGCUCAUGUCCUCCUUGUCCCGCUACUCCGCUCACCCCCGCCGGCCUGGUGGCUUCAAGGUACAACAUGUUCACACACAUGCUGCAACUUUCUGCUCCAAGCCCGCUCUCUGUGCUCACUCCACUCACGCAUCCAAGAAGGCUUACAAGGUUUUAAAAGAACUGAGGAGAGUUUAGAUCAACCAGGGAAAAGAAAGUUAAAUCUCCAGCAGUCAAUGAAUCAAUUCAGUGACCUCCUUACUUGUAAAAGUAGCCUACAAUAAUCCAUCAUCCUCAUUUCAAGAGAGAUGUUUCAGCUGCAGAGAUGUGCAGGAAGGACCAAAGAACCAGCCUGUAGCAGAUGGAUGCUACUGUGAUGUUUUGCUCUGAAGGCACGGUCAGCGUCGAACAAACACAGCAGCCAAGAGAAGAACUGUAUCAUUACAACCGCACACACCUGAAAAAUGGAUUUAAUGUGUGUCACAAUGUGCAGAGGAAGAUUUGUUCAUACUGUAUGUCAAAGACAUAGCAGGUGCCAUCAUGUUUAUUUUACGGGUUUCUAUUUUGAUCAUUUAAUAUUUUAAUGAUAAAUUGGAUGAUAUGUAAACAGACAAUCCAGGAUAUAUGACAAACAUUAAAGGAUAUUGCAUUAUUUUUA